GUGCUCCCUUUGACAACACUUAUACUAACACUGGAAGAAUAUAGAGAAGAUAUGCAUGGCUGCUGUGCAAGGAUGACAUGAAGCCACAAUUUACUUAAGCAAUAUUA
This is a small nuclear RNA of Cricetulus griseus (Chinese hamster), 107 nucleotides long. The record is from Ensembl. NCBI's taxonomy places the organism in Eukaryota, Metazoa, Chordata, Mammalia, Rodentia, Cricetidae.